This 429-nucleotide ribosomal RNA is filed under the name Bacteroidota bacterium. RNAcentral describes it as "Bacteroidetes bacterium partial 16S ribosomal RNA". It matches the Rfam family "Bacterial small subunit ribosomal RNA", at positions 355 to 776 of the family's 1533-position model. The record is from RNAcentral. Lineage: Bacteria; Pseudomonadati; Bacteroidota.
UAGGGAAUCUUCGGCAAUGGGGGGAACCCUGACCGAGCAACGCCGCGUGAGUGAAGAAGGUUUUCGGAUCGUAAAGCUCUGUUGUUAAGGAAGAACGAGUGUGAGAAUGGAAGGUUCAUACUGUGACGGUACUUAACCAGAAAGGGACGGCUAACUACGUGCCAGCAGCCGCGGUAAUACGUAGGUCCCGAGCGUUGUCCGGAUUUAUUGGGCGUAAAGCGAGCGCAGGCGGUUAGAUAAGUCUGAAGUUAAAGGCAGUGGCUCAACCAUUGUAGGCUUUGGAAACUGUUUAACUUGAGUGCAGAAGGGGAGAGUGGAAUUCCAUGUGUAGCGGUGAAAUGCGUAGAUAUAUGGAGGAACACCGGUGGCGAAAGCGGCUCUCUGGUCUGUAACUGACGCUGAGGCUCGAAAGCGUGGGUAGCAAACAGG